Molecule: ribosomal RNA, 253 nt
Filed under: uncultured bacterium
Lineage: Bacteria
Description: partial 16S ribosomal RNA
Rfam family: Bacterial small subunit ribosomal RNA
Source: RNAcentral
UACGUAGGGGGCAAGCGUUGUCCGGAUUUACUGGGCGUAAAGAGCGUGUAGGCGGCCACGCAGGUCCGUUGUGAAAACUGGAGGCUCAACCUCCAGCUGUCGACGGAAACCGUGUGGCUAGAGUCCGGAAGAGGAGAGUGGAAUUCCUGGUGUAGCGGUGAAAUGCGCAGAUAUCAGGAAGAACACCAAUGGCGAAGGCAGCUCUCUGGGACGGUACUGACGCUGAGACGCGGAAGCGUGGGGAGCGAACAGG